AUUCCAGCUCCAAUAGCGUAUAUUAAAGUUGUUGCGGUUAAAAAGCUCGUAGUUGGAUUUCUGCUGAGGACGACCGGUCCGCCCUCUGGGUGAGUAUCUGGCUCGGCCUUGGCAUCUUCUUGGGGAACGUAACUGCACUUGACUGUGUGGUGCGGUAUCCAGGACUUUUACUUUGAGGAAAUUAGAGUGUUUCAAGCAGGCGCACGCCUUGAAUACAUUAGCAUGGAAUAAUAAGAUAGGACCUUGGUUCUAUUUUGUUGGUUUCUAGAGCUGAGGUAAUGAUUAAUAGGGAUAGUUGGGGGCAUUUGUAUUCAAACGACAGAGGUGAAAUUCUUGGACCGUUUGAAGACAAACUACUGCGAAAGCAUUUACCAAGAAUGUUUUCAUCA
This 389-nucleotide ribosomal RNA is filed under the name Gymnodiniaceae sp. RNAcentral's name for it is "partial small subunit ribosomal RNA". It matches the Rfam family "Eukaryotic small subunit ribosomal RNA", at positions 582 to 975 of the family's 1831-position model. The record is from RNAcentral. Lineage: Eukaryota; Dinophyceae; Gymnodiniales; Gymnodiniaceae.